Molecule: ribosomal RNA, 253 nt
Filed under: uncultured bacterium
Lineage: Bacteria
Description: partial 16S ribosomal RNA
Rfam family: Bacterial small subunit ribosomal RNA
Source: RNAcentral
UACGGAGGGUGCAAGCGUUGUCCGGAUUUAUUGGGUUUAAAGGGUGCGUAGGCGGCUCUUUAAGUCAGUGGUGAAAUACUGCAGCUCAACUGUAGCAUUGCCAUUGAUACUGAAGAGCUUGAGUACAGAUGAGGUAGGCGGAAUUUAUGGUGUAGCAGUGAAAUGCAUAGAUACCAUAAAGAACACCGAUUGCGAAGGCAGCUUACUAAGCUGUAACUGACGCUGAGGCACGAAAGCGUGGGGAGCGAACAGG